Spodoptera litura is the source of this 2653-nucleotide non-coding RNA. The record is from RefSeq and is a predicted model, not a curated record. NCBI's taxonomy places the organism in Eukaryota, Metazoa, Arthropoda, Insecta, Lepidoptera, Noctuidae.
UUGAUUAACAAGUGUUAAGACGGUCAGCGGGUACCCAUAGACACAACUGAUAUUAAUUAACUAACUUUAAAUUAAUAUAGAAUACUUAUAAGUGGUAGUGUAUAUUUAUGUUUUAAUCGUUGUUAACAUGGAUCGACACAAGAGAUCUCGGAGAUCCAAUAGCACAUCAUCCUCAAAUUCAAGUUUACAUUGCAAUGUGAACAAGAAGAAAAGAUACAGGAGAGAAUUGAGAAGAAGCAAUCAACAUAUUGAAUCGUUGGAAGGUCUUGUUAAGAACCUGUGGGAUAGUCAAGAUAAUUAAGGAGAAUGGUCCUUGGAAAGUUUAUGAUCAUUACGGACAAUUGUAUGCAGAAAUAUUUUUACCAUUUGAUAAAACUCUGACGAAAGACCACCAACCUCUGGAAGACAGAACUAAACUAAAAUAUGUUCAAAGACACGGCCGAACGACUUUAGAUCCAGUCGUGUCGUCAGUUAGAGAUAAACUACUUGAUGACUAUCGCGUGUAUAUGGCCACGUUAAGUACGGAUGUAAAGAAAGGACAGAUUGUCGAUGAUAUAGCAAAUGGACCCAAUAUACUCAGAGAACGAGACAGUAAUAAAGCAAACGACAACACAGCGACAUCCCAAGAGACUUCAAUCAGAGACUUAGAUUCAGAACCUGACAAGAAUGAAAAACUGAUAAGAGAACUGAAAGAGAGUAUGAACAUAAAAGGUAUAGAUGUAACUAUUUUACCUGAUAAACUCGUGACGUCUGAUCGAGAUGACAGUAAAACGGAUGAAAGUAAAAACGAAGAAGAUAGAGAUGGAACAGAAGAUAGCUCAACAGAUGAUCAUGAAGAAGAGAAUGAAACUGCUGAAGAACGUGAAGAAACUACUCCAAGUAAGGAUAAUACAAAUGAAUCCAGUGAUGAUAGUGAUAAAACUCUUAUAAUGGAUGGGAUUGACGAUACACAACUAGAUAAAAUUGGUGAUAUACUAAAUAUGGAGAGACAAAAGACAGAAAAACAACAGUCAACUGAGACAGAAGAUGAAUAUGUUACAACAACGAAACCAAGAAGAAAAAAAACGACAAAAACUACAACACUGGAACAAUUCAAUUAUGAUUUUGUAAAAAAAACUACAGCCCAUGUAAAUAAAUUUACACAGUCAGCGUUAAGAAAACACAAAUCAUCAACGCAUAGAAAAUUGAAUGUCAAGAGAAUUACAAAGAAUCGAAUCACAGUAAGCGGAAAAUAUACGACAAAGCAUAAAAGGCUUCACGCUAACAAACUUACAAAGAAAUCAAAGAAUGUACGAGAACUAGAACCUACAACAUAUAAAAUUGAUGAAGAAGCGGAAACAAGCUCUGAAACUACAUCAGUACAAGUGAAUAUAAAACGUACGCCACAAACUACAACCACGAUGCUGCCAUACUUCCAAAUGAUUGUUGAUCUGGAUGAAGGGCAGCAGAAGCAGUAAUCAGCUCAUGUCCAGUCAACUGAUGGUAGCGAGGUUGACUUGUCAACGACACACGUACUUACGUAUUGUCAUGAGCAUAUAGUUCACAUAUGUAAACUACGCUAAUUCUAUUGAUAUUCUUGCAGAAUACGCUUCGAAAUUGAAUAAAAAGAUAAGUGGACGUCACCAAGAGCUAUCUUCUGAAGUCAACACCAUCAUAGACUAUGCUGAUAUGUUGUAUGAUGAUGAAGAAGGCACGAAGCUCUUCAAUAUUCUCAAAGAUUUUGAUGACUAUCCUAACACUACACGACCAGGCUAUACAGUAUGUUUGGCAUUAAUAGAAAGCUUCCUAAAGCCGUAUCAUCGGCUCAGUAAUACAGUUCUACGUCAACGAUUGUUAGACUCUAUUAACUUUGAGCUAAAAGCUAUAAUCGCUCAACCAGACCUGUGGAAGAUUGAUGAAGAUUUGGGAUUUUUAGGUUUUAAAGAAGCAACCGAACAAACCCCGUCUGUACAAUCAGACAGCGACACCACAGUCUCAUUCACAAGGAAAAAACAAAAGAAAUUGACACAGAAUUUACUAAAGCUGAAGUCGAAAGCAAAACAUCCGACUAUCAAACGAAAACACACAAAUGUCCAGCCAAAUUACAGCAAUGAAAAUGUUUAUAGACGUAGAUUAAGUUAUACAACUGAAUCUCAGUACAAUUAUCCUUUGUUAAGAAAUAUGAAGCCGAUCACAAGUAUACAGAGACGGUACAAAAUUGUUACUCCGACACAUCGACACAUGUUAAGGCACAGGUCUACACGUAGUUAUAUAGUAAACCUAAUCAGUAGACCCACCAAGGAGUUCACAAAUAAAUUAUAAUAUUAUAAAGCUAAGAAUCAAGCGCAUACUAGAUUUCCAUUCCUCAAUGAGACAGCACGAUUUCGAACGCAUUUGAGGCACAGAGACUAAGAUCACAGGAUUGAAAGUGUUCAUAAUAGAAAUGCGAUUAGCUAUCAGAAAAAUAAAACAUACUUUUACAAUCAAAUGAGGGAUGGAAUUAAGCAACUAGCAACUGUUACAAAGACUGAAAGGCUUAAGACGAUUCGCAAUGAAAGCAUAACGUCAGAUCAAUAACAAUAAGAUAGGCAAAGGUGACUAGAAAGUGUAAGUCUAGGAGAGUCGUCGACAUGAAUGGGCCGGCUCGACCGGACUGAUACCACGGCCCAGCAGA